RNAcentral lists this ribosomal RNA (253 nucleotides) under uncultured bacterium. Its description in RNAcentral is "partial 16S ribosomal RNA". It matches the Rfam family "Bacterial small subunit ribosomal RNA", at positions 524 to 776 of the family's 1533-position model. The record is from RNAcentral.
UACGUAGGGUGCAAGCGUUGUCCGGAAUUAUUGGGCGUAAAGAGCUCGUAGGCGGUCUGUCGCGUCGGCUGUGAAAACCCGGAGCUCAACUCCGGGCCUGCAGUCGAUACGGGCGGACUUGAGUACUGCAGGGGAGACUGGAAUUCCUGGUGUAGCGGUGAAAUGCGCAGAUAUCAGGAGGAACACCGGUGGCGAAGGCGGGUCUCUGGGCAGUAACUGACGCUGAGGAGCGAAAGCGUGGGGAGCGAACAGG